This 104-nucleotide small nuclear RNA is filed under the name Balaenoptera musculus (blue whale). The record is from RNAcentral. Lineage: Eukaryota; Metazoa; Chordata; Mammalia; Artiodactyla; Balaenopteridae.
GUGCUCGCUUCGACAGCACAUAUACUAAAAUUGGAACCAUACAGAGAAGAUUAGCAUGGCCCUUGCACAAGGACAUGCAAAUUCAUGAAGGAUUCCAUAUUUUU